CUACGGGGCGCAGCAGUAGGGAAUUUUGCGCAAUGGGGGAAACCCUGACGCAGCAACGCCGCGUGAACGAUGACGCUUUUCGGAGUGUAAAGUUCUGUCAGUGGGGACGAAUUUUGACGGUACCCACAGAGGAAGCACCGGCUAACUCCGUGCCAGCAGCCGCGGUAAUACGGAGGGUGCAAGCGUUGUCCGGAAUCAUUGGGCGUAAAGAGUUCGUAGGCGGUAUGUUAAGUCUGGUGUUAAAGCCCGAAGCUCAACUUCGGUUCGGCACUGGAUACUGGCAAACUUGAAUGUGGUAGAGGUAAAGGGAAUUCCUGGUGUAGCGGUGAAAUGCGUAGAUAUCAGGAGGAACAUCGGUGGCGUAAGCGCUUUACUGGGCCAUAAUUAACGCUGAGGAACGAAAGCCAGGGUAGCAAAUGGGAUUAGAUACCCCAGUAGUC
RNAcentral lists this ribosomal RNA (440 nucleotides) under uncultured bacterium. Its description in RNAcentral is "partial 16S ribosomal RNA". It matches the Rfam family "Bacterial small subunit ribosomal RNA", at positions 339 to 795 of the family's 1533-position model. The record is from RNAcentral.